Molecule: ribosomal RNA, 301 nt
Filed under: uncultured bacterium
Lineage: Bacteria
Description: partial 16S ribosomal RNA
Rfam family: Bacterial small subunit ribosomal RNA
Source: RNAcentral
CAGUCGCCACGGGAAUACGUAGGUGGCAAGCGUUGUCCGGAAUUAUUGGGCGUAAAGGGCUCGCAGGCGGUUUCUUAAGUCUGAUGUGAAAGCCCACGGCUCAACCGUGGAGGGUCAUUGGAAACUGUUAAACUUGAGUGCAGGAGAGAAAAGUGGAAUCCCUAGUGUAGCGGUGAAAUGCGUAGAGAUCAGGAGGAACACCAGUGGCGAAGGCGGCUUUUUGGCCUGUAACUGACACUGAGGCGCGAAAGCGUGGGGAGCAAACAGGAUUAGAUACCCCGGUAGUCCCUGUCUCUUAUAC